Molecule: ribosomal RNA, 493 nt
Filed under: uncultured bacterium
Lineage: Bacteria
Description: partial 16S ribosomal RNA
Rfam family: Bacterial small subunit ribosomal RNA
Source: RNAcentral
AUUGAACGCUGGCGGCAUGCUUUACACAUGCAAGUCGAACGGUAACAGGUUAAGCUGACGAGUGGCGAACGGGUGAGUAACGCAUCGGAACGUGCCCGAUCGUGGGGGAUAACGCAGCGAAAGCUGCACUAAUACCGCAUACGAUCUGAGGAUGAAAGCGGGGGACCGUAAGGCCUCGCGCGAUCGGAGCGGCCGAUGUCAGAUUAGGUAGUUGGUGGGGUAAAGGCUCACCAAGCCGACGAUCUGUAGCUGGUCUGAGAGGACGACCAGCCACACUGGGACUGAGACACGGCCCAGACUCCUACGGGAGGCAGCAGUGGGGAAUUUUGGACAAUGGGCGCAAGCCUGAUCCAGCAAUGCCGCGCGCAGGAAGAAGGCCUUCGGGUUGUAAACUGCUUUUGUACGGAGCGAAAAGGUCCUUUCUAAUACAGAGGGCUCAUGACGGUACCGUAAGAAUAAGCACCGGCUAACUACGUGCCAGCAGCCGCCGUAA